UUUAAGUGAGAAUCUUAAAGGCCGAAUAUCUAAGGUUUCCAGGGUAAAGCUGAUCUUCCCUGGGUAAGUCGGGGCCUAAGGCGAGGGCGAGAGCCGUAGUCGAUGGAUAACAGGUUGAAAUUCCUGUACUGCUUAUGGACAGAACCGUGGGGACGCAGAAGGAGAGCACGAGCCGGAAAUGGAAAAGCCGGUACAAGCGUAUAGCAGUCAUGCAGGCAAAACCGCAUGAAAAAUGUAAAGCGUUAUGUGGAUCGAACAUUAGUAGAGAAGCGUGUGAGCCAGCUGCCAAGAAAAGCCGCUAUUGCUUCAUAAGUACCCGUACCGUAAACCGACACAGGUGGAUGAGGAGAGAAUCCUAAGGCCGGCGGGAGAAGUGUUGUUAAGGAACUCGGCAAAAUGACUCCGUAACUUCGGGAGAAGGAGUGCCACAGAGAUGUGGCCGCAGAGAAAUGGCCCAAGCAACUGUUUAGCAAAAACACAGGUCUAUGCAAAACCGAAAGGUGAGGUAUAUGGGCUGACGCCUGCCCGGUGCUGGAAGGUUAAGAGGAGAGGUUAGAGCAAUCGAAGCUUUGAAUUUAAGCCCCAGUAAACGGCGGCCGUAACAAUAACGGUCCUAAGGUAGCGAAAUUCCUUGUCGGGUAAGUUCCGACCCGCACGAAAGGCGUAAUGAUUUGGGCACUGUCUCAACAACACACCCGGUGAAAUUGAAAUACCAGUGAAGAUGCUGGUUACCUGCGCCAGGACGGAAAGACCCCAUGGAGCUUUACUCCAGUUUGAUACUGGGAUUCGGUACUGUCUGUACAGGAUAGGUGGGAGGCUAGGAAAUGGUGACGCCAGUUGCCAUGGAGCCAACCUUGGGAUACCACCCUUACAGUACUGGGUUUCUAACCUGCAGCCGUAACCCGGCUGGGGGACAAUGUCUGACGGGGAGUUUGACUGGGGCGGUCGCCUCGAAAGAGUAUCGGAGGCGCUCAAAGGUUCCCUCAGAACGGUUGGAAACCGUUCGAAGAGUGCAAAGGCAGAAGGGAGCUUGACUGCGACACCGACGGGUGGAGCAGAUACGAAAGUAGGACUUAGUGAUCCGGUGGUAUAAAGUGGGAUUGCCAUCGCUCAACGGAUAAAAGCUACCCUGGGAUAACAGGCUUAUCACUCCCAAGAGUUCACAUCGACGGAGUGGUUUGGCACCUCGAUGUCGGCUCAUCGCAUCCUGGAGCUGUAGCAGGUUCCAAGGGUUGGGCUGUUCGCCCAUUAAAGCGGUACGCGAGCUGGGUUCAGAACGUCGUGAGACAGUUCGGUCCCUAUCCAGCGUGGGCGUAGGAUAUUUGAGAGGAGCUGUCCUUAGUACGAGAGGACCGGGAUGGACAAACCUCUGGUGUAUCUGUUGUUUUACCAAAGGCAUGGCAGAGUAGCCAAGUUUGGCAGGGAUAAACGCUGAAGGCAUCUAAGCGUGAAGCCCCCCUCAAGAUAAGAUAUCCCAUCUUCGGAGUAAGACCCCUUGAAGACUACAAGGUUGAUAGGCUUUGUGUGUAAGUGCGGUAACGCACUCAGCUGAGAAGUACUAAUAGGUCGAGGACUUAUCU
This 1580-nucleotide ribosomal RNA is filed under the name metagenome. RNAcentral's name for it is "bacterial LSU rRNA". It matches the Rfam family "Bacterial large subunit ribosomal RNA", at positions 1316 to 2925 of the family's 2925-position model. The record is from RNAcentral.